GAGCAACUGGAGGCUCUUGGAAGAGCAAUAGUUGCUGGCAAGGUAUGUCGUGGUGGUGCUGUUUUUAACUUUCCAAUUUUGAUGAAAAUGUUCAGGCUUCAUAUUUAUUAAUCGGAAACAUAUACUGAAGAACCUUUUUCAUAAGUUGUCUUAUAUACCAAAGAUCUACUGUUUGAAAUAGAAGUUAACUCUCCUUGCUUGGAUCAAUUUGUAAGAAAUAAGCAUUGUUUUGCAUUAGGUUUGGGUCAAGCCGUACUUAGAUCAGCUAACUCUCCUUGCUUGGAUCAUCUGUAAAAGCAUAUGACUACAAUCACUAUAACAUUUUCGUCGAACAGUCUGGUCGUUGGAUUAUAAUCUAAAUUAUAUAAUCCAGAUUAUAAUCUACUAUAUGUAGCAGUUUGGUAGUCUAGAUUAUAUAAAUGUAAAUUAUAAUUUACUUAUUGUAAUUAUCACUUGUCUUGCAGAUAGGCAAUUGAAAAUGAGAAUUGAUCUUUUUUAUGGGCGAAGUGUUGAAGAUGGCUUUGGUGAAGGAAAUGUCUUGUUAGCAUCAAGUAAGUGGCGACAUCACAACCCCUACAAGCUUGUGCCUUAAAACAAGAGGAUACAAGAAGUUGGAGUGCUUUUGUGAAGGCUUUUGCGAAUCACUUGAAGCGUUAGUACUUUUGUGAAUGAUUUUGUAAAGUGUUUGCAAAUAUGUGCAAAACAUAAUAACAUGUGUAGGUUUUGUGAAUGAUUUUGUUGUGGUGCUUGUUGAUGGUUUAUGUGAUGUGGAUCUAUCAUUGUGCAAUACUAAUUAAAUUUGUAUAUCUAUGUGAUUAUGUGUAUAAAAAUUGGUGAUUUGUGAUGC
Molecule: long non-coding RNA, 847 nt
Filed under: Zea mays
Lineage: Eukaryota; Viridiplantae; Streptophyta; Magnoliopsida; Poales; Poaceae
Description: long non-coding RNA (ZMAY_LNC005349)
Source: RNAcentral